Molecule: ribosomal RNA, 117 nt
Filed under: Lepisosteus oculatus (spotted gar)
Lineage: Eukaryota; Metazoa; Chordata; Actinopteri; Semionotiformes; Lepisosteidae
Source: RNAcentral
GCCAGUGGUCAUAUCACCCUGCAACUCACUCACAAUUGGUAACCCACUGAAGGUAAGUGAGCUUGGUCAGUACCUGGAUGGGAGACCUCCUGGGAAAAACUAAGGUUGCUGCUGGAA